GGAAAGAUGAAUCAAAGAAGGUAAUAAUCCUGUAGUCGAAAAUGUUGUCUCUCUUGAGUGGAUCCUGAGUACGACGGAGCACGUGAAAUUCCGUCGGAAUCUGGGAGGACCAUCUCCUAAGGCUAAAUACUCUCUAGUGACCGAUAGUGAACCAGUACCGUGAGGGAAAGGUGAAAAGCACCCCGGAAGGGGAGUGAAAUAGAACCUGAAACCGUGUGCUUACAAGUAGUCAGAGCCCGUUAAUGGGUGAUGGCGUGCCUUUUGUAGAAUGAACCGGCGAGUUACGAUUUGAUGCAAGGUUAAGCAGUAAAUGUGGAGCCGUAGCGAAAGCGAGUCUGAAUAGGGCGUUUAGUAUUUGGUCGUAGACCCGAAACCAGGUGAUCUACCCUUGGUCAGGUUGAAGUUCAGGUAACACUGAAUGGAGGACCGAACCGACUUACGUUGAAAAGUGAGCGGAUGAACUGAGGGUAGCGGAGAAAUUCCAAUCGAACCUGGAGAUAGCUGGUUCUCUCCGAAAUAGCUUUAGGGCUAGCCUCAAGUGAUGAUUAUUGGAGGUAGAGCACUGUUUGGACGAGGGGCCCCUCUCGGGUUACCGAAUUCAGACAAACUCCGAAUGCCAAUUAAUUUAACUUGGGAGUCAGAACAUGGGUGAUAAGGUCCGUGUUCGAAAGGGAAACAGCCCAGACCACCAGCUAAGGUCCCAAAAUAUAUGUUAAGUGGAAAAGGAUGUGGCGUUGCCCAGACAACUAGGAUGUUGGCUUAGAAGCAGCCAUCAUUUAAAGAGUGCGUAAUAGCUCACUAGUCGAGUGACACUGCGCCGAAAAUGUACCGGGGCUAAACAUAUUACCGAAGCUGUGGAUUGUCCUUUGGACAAUGGUAGGAGAGCGUUCUAAGGGCGUUGAAGCAUGAUCGUAAGGACAUGUGGAGCGCUUAGAAGUGAGAAUGCCGGUGUGAGUAGCGAAAGACGGGUGAGAAUCCCGUCCACCGAUUGACUAAGGUUUCCAGAGGAAGGCUCGUCCGCUCUGGGUUAGUCGGGUCCUAAGCUGAGGCCGACAGGCGUAGGCGAUGGAUAACAGGUUGAUAUUCCUGUACCACCUAUAAUCGUUUUAAUCGAUGGGGGGGACGCAGUAGGAUAGGCGAAGCGUGCGAUUGGAUUGCACGUCUAAGCAGUAAGGCUGAGUAUUAGGCAAAUCCGGUACUCGUUAAGGCUGAGCUGUGAUGGGGAGAAGACAUUGAGUCUUCGAGUCGUUGAUUUCACACUGCCGAGAAAAGCCUCUAGAUAGAAAAUAGGUGCCCGUACCGCAAACCGACACAGGUAGUCAAGAUGAGAAUUCUAAGGUGAGCGAGCGAACUCUCGUUAAGGAACUCGGCAAAAUGACCCCGUAACUUCGGGAGAAGGGGUGCUCUUUAGGGUUAACGCCCAGAAGAGCCGCAGUGAAUAGGCCCAAGCGACUGUUUAUCAAAAACACAGGUCUCUGCUAAACCGUAAGGUGAUGUAUAGGGGCUGACGCCUGCCCGGUGCUGGAAGGUUAAGAGGAGUGGUUAGCUUCUGCGAAGCUACGAAUCGAAGCCCCAGUAAACGGCGGCCGUAACUAUAACGGUCCUAAGGUAGCGAAAUUCCUUGUCGGGUAAGUUCCGACCCGCACGAAAGGCGUAACGAUUUGGGCACUGUCUCAACGAGAGACUCGGUGAAAUCAUAGUACCUGUGAAGAUGCAGGUUACCCGCGACAGGACGGAAAGACCCCGUGGAGCUUUACUGUAGCCUGAUAUUGAAAUUCGGCACAGCUUGUACAGGAUAGGUAGGAGCCUUUGAAACGUGAGCGCUAGCUUACGUGGAGGCGCUGGUGGGAUACUACCCUAGCUGUGUUGGCUUUCUAACCCGCACCACUUAUCGUGGUGGGAGACAGUGUCAGGCGGGCAGUUUGACUGGGGCGGUCGCCUCCUAAAAGGUAACGGAGGCGCUCAAAGGUUCCCUCAGAAUGGUUGGAAAUCAUUCAUAGAGUGUAAAGGCAUAAGGGAGCUUGACUGCGAGACCUACAAGUCGAGCAGGGUCGAAAGACGGACUUAGUGAUCCGGUGGUUCCGCAUGGAAGGGCCAUCGCUCAACGGAUAAAAGCUACCCCGGGGAUAACAGGCUUAUCUCCCCCAAGAGUUCACAUCGACGGGGAGGUUUGGCACCUCGAUGUCGGCUCAUCGCAUCCUGGGGCUGUAGUCGGUCCCAAGGGUUGGGCUGUUCGCCCAUUAAAGCGGUACGCGAGCUGGGUUCAGAACGUCGUGAGACAGUUCGGUCCCUAUCCGUCGUGGGCGUAGGAAAUUUGAGAGGAGCUGUCCUUAGUACGAGAGGACCGGGAUGGACAUACCUCUGGUGUACCAGUUGUCGUGCCAACGGCAUAGCUGGGUAGCUAUGUGUGGACGGGAUAAGUGCUGAAAGCAUCUAAGCAUGAAGCCCCCCUCAAGAUGAGAUUUCCCAACUUCGGUUAUAAGAUCCCUCAAAGAUGAUGAGGUUAAUAGGUUCGAGGUGGAAGCAUGGUGACAUGUGGAGCUGACGAAUACUAAUCGAUCGAAGACU
RNAcentral lists this ribosomal RNA (2568 nucleotides) under Staphylococcus aureus. Its description in RNAcentral is "partial 23S ribosomal RNA". It matches the Rfam family "Bacterial large subunit ribosomal RNA", at positions 344 to 2925 of the family's 2925-position model. The record is from RNAcentral. Lineage: Bacteria; Bacillati; Bacillota; Bacilli; Caryophanales; Staphylococcaceae.